AGGAAGCCCCGGCUAACUACGUGCCAGCAGCCGCGGUAAGACGUAGGGGGCCAGCGUUGUUCGGAAUUACUGGGUGUAAAGGGUUCGUAGGCGGUGUGGCAAGUUGGGAGUGAAAUCUCUGGGCUCAACCCAGAGGCUGCUUCCAAAACUGCCAUGCUUGAGUGUGGGAGAGGCGCGUGGAAUUGCAGGUGUAGCGGUGAAAUGCGUAGAUAUCUGCAGGAACACCCGUGGCGAAAGCGGCGCGCUGGACCACUACUGACGCUGAGGAACGAAAGCUAGGGGAGCAAACAGGAUUAGAUACCCUGGUAGUCCUAGCCCUAAACGAUCAGGACUUGGGGUGCCGCCCGUUCGGGCGUCGUCCCGGAGCUAACGCGUUAAGUCCUGCACCUGGGGAGUACGGUCGCAAGACUGAAACUCAAAGGAAUUGACG
This 430-nucleotide ribosomal RNA is filed under the name uncultured Acidobacteriota bacterium. RNAcentral's name for it is "SSU rRNA". It matches the Rfam family "Bacterial small subunit ribosomal RNA", at positions 485 to 915 of the family's 1533-position model. The record is from RNAcentral. Lineage: Bacteria; Pseudomonadati; Acidobacteriota.